GGGGGAUAACAUUUGGAAACAGAUGCUAAUACCGCAUAAAUCCAAGAACCGCAUGGUUCUUGGCUGAAAGAUGGCGUAAGCUAUCGCUUUUGGAUGGACCCGCGGCGUAUUAGCUAGUUGGUGAGGUAACGGCUCACCAAGGCAAUGAUACGUAGCCGAACUGAGAGGUUGAUCGGCCACAUUGGGACUGAGACACGGCCCAAACUCCUACGGGAGGCAGCAGUAGGGAAUCUUCCACAAUGGACGCAAGUCUGAUGGAGCAACGCCGCGUGAGUGAAGAAGGCUUUCGGGUCGUAAAACUCUGUUGUUGGAGAAGAAUGGUCGGCAGAGUAACUGUUGUCGGCGUGACGGUAUCCAACCAGAAAGCCACGGCUAACUACGUGCCAGCAGCCGCGGUAAUACGUAGGUGGCAAGCGUUAUCCGGAUUUAUUGGGCGUAAAGCGAGCGCAGGCGGUUUUUUAAGUCUGAUGUGAAAGCCCUCGGCUUAACCGAGGAAGUGCAUCGGAAACUGGGAAACUUGAGUGCAGAAGAGGACAGUGGAACUCCAUGUGUAGCGGUGAAAUGCGUAGAUAUAUGGAAGAACACCAGUGGCGAAGGCGGCUGUCUGGUCUGUAACUGACGCUGAGGCUCGAAAGCAUGGGUAGCGAACAGGAUUAGAUACCCUGGUAGUCCAUGCCGUAAACGAUGAAUGCUAGGUGUUGGAGGGUUUCCGCCCUUCAGUGCCGCAGCUAACGCAUUAAGCAUUCCGCCUGGGGAGUACGACCGCAAGGUUGAAACUCAAAGGAAUUGACGGGGGCCC
Molecule: ribosomal RNA, 799 nt
Filed under: Lacticaseibacillus rhamnosus
Lineage: Bacteria; Bacillati; Bacillota; Bacilli; Lactobacillales; Lactobacillaceae
Description: bacterial SSU rRNA
Rfam family: Bacterial small subunit ribosomal RNA
Source: RNAcentral